CGAAAGCACAAGAUCCCGAGUUUGAUCCCCAGUACCCCCCCCCAAUAAUAAUCUCAUGUUUAUGUUUUUCCAGCCCACUGCUAUGGACAGUGCCAUCACCCUGUGGCAGUUCCUCCUUCAGCUCCUGCAGGAGCCUCAGAAUGAGCACAUGAUCUGCUGGACCUCUAACAAUGGGGAGUUCAAGCUUCUGCAGGCAGAAGAGGUGGCUCGUCUUUGGGGGAUUCGCAAGAACAAGCCCAACAUGAAUUAUGACAAACUCAGCCGAGCCCUCAGAUACUACUAUGUAAAGAAUAUCAUCAAAAAAGUAAAUGGUCAGAAGUUUGUGUACAAGUUUGUAUCUUAUCCAAAGAUUUUGAAAAUGGAUCCAAUCACAGUGGGCAAGAUUGAGGGAGACGGUGAAACUCUGAAUUGCAGUGACAUCAGCAGCACUUCUAAAGACGUGGAGAGUGGGGGGAAGGAGAAACAGCCCGGGGCCAGGACCUCCAGCCGCAAUGACUACAUCCACUCUGGCUUGUAUUCCUCAUUUACUCUCAAUUCUUUGAACACCUCCAGUAAAAAGCUUUUCAAGUCAAUAAAGAUGGAGAAUCCUGCUGAGAAACUGGCAGAGAAAAAAUCUCAGGAACCAACACCAUCUGUCAUCAAAUUUGUAACACCUUCCAAGAAACCACCCACUGAACCUAUCGCUGCCACCAUUUCAACUGACCCAACUAUUUCUUCAUCUUCCAAAGAAACUAUCCAAGCAUUAGAGACACUGGUUUCCCCAAAGCUGCCCUCCCUGGAGGCCCCAGCCUCCGUGUCCAGCAUGGCUGCCAGUUUUACCCCCACUCCUCCCAUUCCUGCCGCGCCCCCUCCCUUGAAGGAGCCUCCCAGGACACCCUCUCCUCCGCCGAGUUCCAACCCAGACAUCGACACAGACGUUGACUCGGUGGCUUCCCAGCCAAUGGAGCUUCCAGAGAACUUGUCUCUGGAGCCUAAAGAUGAGGGUUCAUCUUUGCCAGAAAAAGACAAAACAAAUAGUUCAUCAAGGUCCAAGAAACCCAAAGGGUUAGAACUGGCACCUACCCUUGUGAUCACAGGCAGUGACCCAAGCCCGCUGGGAAUACUGAGCCCAUCUCUUCCUACAGCUUCUCUUACACCAGCGCUGUUUUCACAGACGCCCAUCCUCCUGACUCCAAGCCCCUUGCUCUCCAGCAUCCACUUCUGGAGCACUCUCAGCCCUGUCGCUCCCCUGAGUCCAGCCAGACUGCAAGGUGCUAACACACUUUUCCAGUUUCCUUCUGUACUGAACAGUCAUGGGCCGUUCACCCUGUCUGGCCUGGACGGACCUUCCACUCCUGGCCCGUUUUCCCCAGACCUGCAGAAGAUAUAAUCUAUGCACUUGUGGCGUGAGAGGAAUACAGAGAUGGAGAGAGAGUUGACCUGAUGGCAUUGGAGUGAGGAGUUGAUGCUAUGAUUUUUGCCAUUUCCCGCUGAAACACCUUCUUCAGGACUCUCUUUGAAUAGGUUUCGAGUUAGACUGUGUGAAAUGCCUUAAUUGGAGCCCACCUCCACAGCCUUGUCUUUUUUUAUGUUGAGCCAAGUGCUAAAGUAAUUUUGGUGGGGUUUAUAGCAGCUGUGCUUUGCAAACGUGGUUAAGAGCAAAGGUAAUCCUCCUGGCUAUCAGAAUCCUUUGGCUAGGAGAAAAUUGUGCUUAGAGUUUAUUAUUUUAGAAAUGCUAUUUAAGGAGCUGGGGAUUUAGCUCAGUGGCAUUGCACCUGCCUGGCAAAUGCAAGGUCCUGAGUUCGAUCCCUGGUACCAAAAAAAAAGAAAAAGAAAUACUGAUUAAAUGAAACUGGCUGCUUAGGACUGAGUAUGCUCUGCUGAAUGAGUAAAAGGGAGCUGUUUAUGAGCAGUAGGAGAAAAAUAAUCCAUUCCUAUUCAUACAAAAUAAGACUGGAGCAGUACCAUUGUGCACUGUUGUGCUACGAACUGCAGCAUGUAGGAGCAGGUCACAGAAGGUGCCAGGGUCUCCUGGCCAUGCCUGUGACCUCACCUUCACCUGUGGGGAGCGCAUGGAGCCAGUCUGUCAGCAGGAGAACUUCCAGCCUGGAUUUGAGGUGUGGCCCUUGGAACAUCCGGGAGAUGAGCACAGGAGCGCCGCUGUCCAGUGUCAUCGGGGAUGAUUUCCAGCAGGAUGGACUUGGGUAUUGAGAAUUGGAAGCUUCUCUGAGUAAGAGGUUGGAUUGAAUACCUUGGAUCAACAUUGGAGGCUUGUCCCAGUUAGAAGAUACCCCGGGUGCAUCUGGCUGCGGCACACUGAUACCCUAACAGGUCACUUUCCAGGGCUGGCAUCGUCAGACGGAGCCGGUCACAGACAGUUGUGAGAGCGCACGUUGUCCUCAUGUAGCACCGCACUGCGCCUUGUGACAGCAGUGGGCCACUGAAGUGGGGUGAGGAAGGGAGCAGCGCGAGGCCUGCACGGGCCGAGUGGGUCACUGCGGCCCUGCUGUUACAGCCGUCGCUGAGUGCCAGCCUUGUCCGACUCGUUCCUGUGUGCCAGAGACUCCUGCAGUGAGGCUCUAGUCCCCGCCUGCCCGGUGUGUGAUGCGGGAUUGAAGGAAAAUGAAGACAGAGUUAGAGAGAAGGUGUGAACUGCGACGGCCCUCGCUCCUUCGGCAAAAGGCCCUGGCCCGUCUCUUCCACCGAAUUUUACCAUUCAUCCGCCAGAGUAAAGGUGCGAUACGUGUAUGGAUGUGCAGUACGUGACAUUAGCAUGGAAACUGACGCCGGCAAGGCUUUAGGAGAAGUCAAAGCAGGGCCAGGAUAGGCCAGCGGUGCCACCACCUGCCUCACAAGCGCAACGUCCUGGCUUCCAUCUCCGGUUCCAAAAAAAAA
RNA transcript from Fukomys damarensis (Damara mole-rat), 2874 nucleotides. It is a transcript of the gene named ETS transcription factor ELK4, with no coding region annotated. The record is from RefSeq and is a predicted model, not a curated record. The transcript has 5 exons. NCBI's taxonomy places the organism in Eukaryota, Metazoa, Chordata, Mammalia, Rodentia, Bathyergidae.